RNAcentral lists this unclassified non-coding RNA (225 nucleotides) under plant metagenome. Its description in RNAcentral is "partial contains small subunit ribosomal RNA, internal transcribed spacer 1, and 5.8S ribosomal RNA". The record is from RNAcentral.
UCUCCGUUGGUGAACCUGCGGAGGGAUCAUUACAGGACUCGCAAGACUCCUACAACCCUGUGAACUUAACUAUAAGCACGUUGCUUCGGCGGGUGUCUCGGAGGGGGUUCUCCCUCCCCGAGACGCUAAACCCGCCGGCAGCCUACUAUACUCUGUCUCUUUGCGUUGGCAUCUCGAGUACAAUCAAACAAGUUAAAACUUUCAACAACGGAUCUCUUGGUUCUG